ACUGAACGCUGGCGGCAGGCCUAACACAUGCAAGUCGAGCGGAGAUGAGGUGCUUGCACCUUAUCUUAGCGGCGGACGGGUGAGUAAUGCUUAGGAAUCUGCCUAUUAGUGGGGGAUAACAUUCCGAAAGGAAUGCUAAUACCGCAUACGUCCGACGGGAGAAAGCAGGGGAUCUUCGGACCUUGCGCUAAUAGAUGAGCCUAAGUCGGAUUAGCUAGUUGGUGGGGUAAAGGCCUACCAAGGCGACGAUCUGUAGCGGGUCUGAGAGGAUGAUCCGCCACACUGGGACUGAGACACGGCCCAGACUCCUACGGGAGGCAGCAGUGGGGAAUAUUGGACAAUGGGGGAAACCCUGAUCCAGCCAUGCCGCGUGUGUGAAGAAGGCCUUAUGGUUGUAAAGCACUUUAAGCGAGGAGGAGGCUACUGAGACUAAUACUCUUGGAUAGUGGACGUUACUCGCAGAAUAAGCACCGGCUAACUCUGUGCCAGCAGCCGCAGUAA
Molecule: ribosomal RNA, 501 nt
Filed under: uncultured bacterium
Lineage: Bacteria
Description: partial 16S ribosomal RNA
Rfam family: Bacterial small subunit ribosomal RNA
Source: RNAcentral